AAGUAGAGUGGCGAACGGGUUAGUAACGCGUGGGAACAUACACAGCACAGGGGGAUAACCAUUGGAAACGAUGGCUAAUACCGCAUACGCCCUAUUGGGGAAAGAUUUAUCGGUGUUGGAUUGGCCCGCGUUAGAUUAGCUAGUUGGUGGGGUAAUGGCUCACCAAGGCGACGAUUUAUAGCUGGUUUGAGAGGAUGAUCAGCAACACUGGAACUGAGACACGGUCCAGACUCCUACGGGAGGCAGCAGUCGGGAAUAUUGUGCAAUGGGGGCAACCCUGACACAGCCAUGCCGCGUGAGUGAAGAAGGCCUUAGGGUUGUAAAGCUCUUUCAGAUGUGAGGAUGAUGACGAUAGCAUCAGAAGAAGCUCCGGCUAACUUCGUGCCAGCAGCCGCGGUAAUACGAAGGGAGCUAGCGUUGUUCGGAAUUACUGGGCGUAAAGGGCGUGUAGGCGGAUUAUCAAGUUAGGGGUGAAAUCCCGGGGCUCAACCUCGGCACUGCCUUUAAGACUGAUAAUCUA
This 520-nucleotide ribosomal RNA is filed under the name uncultured bacterium. RNAcentral describes it as "bacterial SSU rRNA". It matches the Rfam family "Bacterial small subunit ribosomal RNA", at positions 88 to 643 of the family's 1533-position model. The record is from RNAcentral.